UACGUAGGGGGCUAGCGUUGUCCGGAUUUAUCGGGCGUAAAGAGCGCGUAGGCGGCCGAGUAAGUCCGACGUGAAAUCUGGAGGCUCAACCUCCAGCGGUCGUUGGAAACUACUCGGCUAGAGUCCGGAAGAGGAGAGUGGAAUUCCUGGUGUAGCGGUGAAAUGCGCAGAUAUCAGGAAGAACACCGAUGGCGAAAGCAGCUCUCUGGGACGGUACUGACGCUGAGGCGCGAAAGCGUGGGGAGCGAACAGG
Molecule: ribosomal RNA, 253 nt
Filed under: uncultured bacterium
Lineage: Bacteria
Description: partial 16S ribosomal RNA
Rfam family: Bacterial small subunit ribosomal RNA
Source: RNAcentral